Molecule: ribosomal RNA, 397 nt
Filed under: uncultured bacterium
Lineage: Bacteria
Description: partial 16S ribosomal RNA
Rfam family: Bacterial small subunit ribosomal RNA
Source: RNAcentral
AUACGUAGGUGGCAAGCGUUGUCCGGAAUUAUUGGGCGUAAAGCGCGCGCAGGCGGUCCUUUAAGUCUGAUGUGAAAGCCCACGGCUCAACCGUGGAGGGUCAUUGGAAACUGGGGGACUUGAGUGCAGAAGAGGAAAGUGGAAUUCCAAGUGUAGCGGUGAAAUGCGUAGAGAUUUGGAGGAACACCAGUGGCGAAGGCGACUUUCUGGUCUGUAACUGACGCUGCGGCGCGAAAGCGUGGGGAGCAAACAGGAUUUGAUACCCUGGUAGUCCACGCUGUAAACGAUGAGUGCUAAGUGUUAGGGGGUUUCCGCCCCUUAGUGCUGCAGCUAACGCAUUAAGCACUCCGCCUGGGGAGUACGGUCGCAAGACUGAAACUCAAAUGAAUUGACGGGG